GUCGGGAAUUUUGGACAAUGGGCGCAAGCCUGAUCCAGCAAUGUCGCGUGCAGGAAGAAGGCCUUCGGGUUGUAAACUGCUUUUGUACGGAACGAAAAAGCUCUCUCUAAUACAGGGGGUGAAUGACGGUACCGUAAGAAUAAGCACCGGCUAACUACGUGCCAGCAGCCGCGGUAAUACGUAGGGUGCAAGCGUUAAUCGGAAUUACUGGGCGUAAAGCGUGCGCAGGCGGUGAUGUAAGACAGAUGUGAAAUCCCCGGGCUCAACCUGGGAACUGCAUUUGUGACUGCAUUGCUGGAGUGCGGCAGAGGGGGAUGGAAUUCCGCGUGUAGCAGUGAAAUGCGUAGAUAUGCGGAGGAACACCGAUGGCGAAGGCAAUCCCCUGGGCCUGCACUGACGCUCAUGCACGAAAGCGUGGGGAGCAAACAGGAUUAGAUACCCGAGUAGUCC
RNAcentral lists this ribosomal RNA (450 nucleotides) under uncultured bacterium. Its description in RNAcentral is "partial 16S ribosomal RNA". It matches the Rfam family "Bacterial small subunit ribosomal RNA", at positions 354 to 796 of the family's 1533-position model. The record is from RNAcentral.